RNAcentral lists this ribosomal RNA (253 nucleotides) under uncultured bacterium. RNAcentral describes it as "partial 16S ribosomal RNA". It matches the Rfam family "Bacterial small subunit ribosomal RNA", at positions 524 to 776 of the family's 1533-position model. The record is from RNAcentral.
UACGAAGGGGGCUAGCGUUGCUCGGAAUCACUGGGCGUAAAGCGCACGUAGGCGGAUCUUCAAGUCAGGGGUGAAAUCCCGAGGCUCAACCUCGGAGCUGCCCUUGAUACUGGGGAUCUCGAGUCCGGAAGAGGUUGGUGGAACUCCGAGUGUAGAGGUGAAAUUCGUAGAUAUUCGGAAGAACACCAGUGGCGAAGGCGGCCAACUGGUCCGGCACUGACGCUGAGGUGCGAAAGCGUGGGGAGCAAACAGG